RNAcentral lists this ribosomal RNA (492 nucleotides) under uncultured bacterium. Its description in RNAcentral is "partial 16S ribosomal RNA". It matches the Rfam family "Bacterial small subunit ribosomal RNA", at positions 28 to 507 of the family's 1533-position model. The record is from RNAcentral.
GGUGAACGCUGGCGGUAGGCCUAACACAUGCAAGUCGAACGGCAGCACAGUAAGAGCUUGCUCUUACGGGUGGCGAGUGGCGGACGGGUGAGGAAUACAUCGGAAUCUACUUUUUCGUGGGGGAUAACGUAGGGAAACUUACGCUAAUACCGCAUACGACCUACGGGUGAAAGCAGGGGAUCUUCGGACCUUGCGCGAUUGAAUGAGCCGAUGUCGGAUUAGCUAGUUGGCGGGGUAAAGGCCCACCAAGGCGACGAUCCGUAGCUGGUCUGAGAGGAUGAUCAGCCACACUGGAACUAAGACACGGUCCAGACUCCUACGGGAGGCAGCAGUGGGGAAUAUUGGACAAUGGGCGCAAGCCUGAUCCAGCCAUACCGCGUGGGUGAAGAAGGCCUUCGGGUUGUAAAGCCCUUUUGUUGGGAAAGAAAAGCAGCAGGUUAAUACCCCGCUGUUCUGACGGUACCCAAAGAAUAAGCACCGGCUAACUUCGUG